Nerophis ophidion (straightnose pipefish) is the source of this 1100-nucleotide long non-coding RNA. RefSeq lists it as uncharacterized. Lineage: Eukaryota; Metazoa; Chordata; Actinopteri; Syngnathiformes; Syngnathidae. The transcript is spliced from 3 exons. The record is from RefSeq and is a predicted model, not a curated record.
UUUUCUGUAUGUUUGAUCACGUUUUGGACUCUGCCGUUUCCCUGAGUUGAACACUUCCUAGUUUAUACUCGUCACCAUGGCAACGUAAUUGUUUCACCUGCACUGGCGCCUGGCGCACACCGGUCGUUAAUUAUUGUGUUGUAUUUAAGACCGCCUGCUACCUCAGUUCCUCCUGGACGUUUUGCUAGCUUAAGGCAACUGUUAUGUUGUGUAUUCUUGUUUCCCUGUUGUUUGUUCCACGCUAGGUUUAGCUUAGCCUCCGCGCGCUCGGCUCGCGCUACUUCGAACUCUGCCUCUUUCUAUUAGUAGCAUUUAGCUUCCCGUGCUAAGGCACACCUUUGUUUUGCUCUUUUGUCAAGUGUUACUUUGGUUAUUUAUAUUAAAAUCGGCUCCUACCUUCAUUCCUGCCUGCUCCAAUCCUUUGGCAUCGAGAGGUGGCACUCCUCGCGCAUCCAAGAUGCGACCCAAGCGUAACAGAAAACGUCCAGCCUCGCGUUACCUCGCUGAGGACAUUCCGGAGUUUCGACCCCACCUUUUGUCAUAUCCGGCCAAGUACUCCACCGUUACAGCCCAGGACUCUCCAUUAAGGGUUCAUGUCUUUGGACGUGGGAAGAAGCCGGAGUACCCGGAGGGAACCCACGCAGUCACAAGGAGAACAUGCAAACUCCACACAGAAAGAUCCCGAGCCAGGGAUUGAACUCAGGACUACUCAGGACCUUCGUAAUACAAACCUGUCUAUAGGGACCACUCAAAGGAAACUACAAAAGUGGCCCCUCUAUGCAGGUUAGGAGCCAUUUUCAGCCAGGCUUUGUGGUGGUUGGAGCCAUGACAAACUCACACGAUGGGAAAAAUCCGGUUAAACACGAUGCAUGACACAUUAGUAAUGGCGAUGAUUCGUUGAGACGGCAAGAGUUGACAGCCACUUUUUACUGAUUAGUUGUAAAUUUUACAACAAAUGAGGGAAAGUGCUCGUUGGAAUGGGAUAAUAUGACGUGUAGUUAUACACCACCCACCCCGGAUGCGAACUUACGUAGUAGUAUGUUAACCAUUAGCAAGUUUAAUCAUUCAUCUCUGUUAUCUAAUAAAUUGUAAAACUGAAA